AAAACGCCGAAAAGCAAAGGCGGACGGCCUGAUUAACUUCAAGCACCAUUAUCAAUAACUAAUGGUGAGCAUUCCAGUGGCAACCUUCGGCUCAGCAGGCCAAAAAAUUCCUCUUCUAGGCUUUGGCACAGCUGAUUUUCCAUUUGGAGAAUAUGAAGCAGUGAAACAAUCAGUUCGCCAUGCAAUUGAAGUUGGCUAUAGACACUUUGACACUGCUGCUGUUUACCAGUCUGAGAAGCCUCUCGGCGAUGCCAUUGCUGAAGCAUUGCACAGGGGGCUAAUCAAAUCACGCGAUGAGCUUUUCGUUACCUCCAAGCUCUUCAGCAGCAACGCUCAUUCUCACCUUGUUCUUCCUGCUCUACAGGAGACUCUCAAGAAUCUUGGAUUGGAGUACCUUGAUUUAUAUCUAAUUCACUUUCCUGUGAGUUUGAAGCCAGAAGCCCAGUUCCCAUUUAAACCAGAUGAAACUCUUGUGAUGGAUUUUGAGUCUGUUUGGAAGGCCAUGGAGGAGUGCCAAAAUCUUGGCCUUACAAAAUCAAUAGGAGUUAGCAACUUUACAUGCAAGAAGAUUGAGAAAUUGCUUGCCACUGCAAGAAUUCCUCCGGCAGUCAAUCAAGUGGAGAUGCACAUUUUUUGGCAGCAGAAGCAGCUGAGAAAAUUAUGCGAGGAAAAGGGUAUCCAUAUGACAGCCUACUCUGCAUUGGGACCGAAAGGAACUCCUUGGGAAGGCAAUAAUAAACCCAUAGAAUGUCAAGUGGUGAAAGAGAUUGCUAGUGGCAGAGGAAAGACAGCGGCUCAGGUGUGUCUGAGAUGGGUGCACGAGCAAGGUGUUAGUGUUGUUGUGAAGAGCUUUAACAAGGAAAGAAUGAAAGAAAACUUGAAGAUAUUUGAUUGGGAGCUAAGUGAGGAAGACUUGCAAAAGAUAAAUCAAAUUCAACAAAAAAGAGGUAAUCUAGCAGAGGCAUUCGUCGCAGAUGAAAGUCCCUACAAGUCUCUCUCUGAGCUCUGGGAUGGAGAGCUGUAGAUGAAUUAUUAGGUACAUUCGGUGCACAAACAGUACUAUUUUUUAGUGCUUUUGGUGUACUUAAUAAUUAGCCAAAACUGUAAUUUUCUUAUACUAGAAAGGCUAAUUAUUAGGUAUACCCGGAGCACUAAAAAAUAGUGCUCCUUCUCUCACAGAAGGUGUGUCUUUCCUAUUAUAUAGGUAGUGGGUCCCAUAUGAUUGUUAGAGAAGGUGUAUGUACACCGGGUGCACCUAAUAAUUCCUCUACUAGAAAUCCAAAUAUUAGUGU
This 1292-nucleotide unclassified non-coding RNA is filed under the name Hevea brasiliensis (rubber tree). The record is from RNAcentral. Lineage: Eukaryota; Viridiplantae; Streptophyta; Magnoliopsida; Malpighiales; Euphorbiaceae.